GAAGUUAAAAUUUUUAAAGCCGCUAACUUUAACUCUGUUUAUUAAUCAAAAACAUAACUUCU
This 62-nucleotide transfer RNA is filed under the name Phalangium opilio (common harvesterman). RNAcentral describes it as "tRNA-Ser". The record is from RNAcentral. Lineage: Eukaryota; Metazoa; Arthropoda; Arachnida; Opiliones; Phalangiidae.